RNAcentral lists this ribosomal RNA (1414 nucleotides) under Lactiplantibacillus plantarum. RNAcentral's name for it is "bacterial SSU rRNA". It matches the Rfam family "Bacterial small subunit ribosomal RNA". The record is from RNAcentral. Lineage: Bacteria; Bacillati; Bacillota; Bacilli; Lactobacillales; Lactobacillaceae.
GAACCGAACUCUGGGUAUUGAUUGGUGCUUGCAUCAUGAUUUACAUUUGAGUGAGUGGCGAACUGGUGAGUAACACGUGGGAAACCUGCCCAGAAGCGGGGGAUAACACCUGGAAACAGAUGCUAAUACCGCAUAACAACUUGGACCGCAUGGUCCGAGCUUGAAAGAUGGCUUCGGCUAUCACUUUUGGAUGGUCCCGCGGCGUAUUAGCUAGAUGGUGGGGUAACGGCUCACCAUGGCAAUGAUACGUAGCCGACCUGAGAGGGUAAUCGGCCACAUUGGGACUGAGACACGGCCCAAACUCCUACGGGAGGCAGCAGUAGGGAAUCUUCCACAAUGGACGAAAGUCUGAUGGAGCAACGCCGCGUGAGUGAAGAAGGGUUUCGGCUCGUAAAACUCUGUUGUUAAAGAAGAACAUAUCUGAGAGUAACUGUUCAGGUAUUGACGGUAUUUAACCAGAAAGCCACGGCUAACUACGUGCCAGCAGCCGCGGUAAUACGUAGGUGGCAAGCGUUGUCCGGAUUUAUUGGGCGUAAAGCGAGCGCAGGCGGUUUUUUAAGUCUGAUGUGAAAGCCUUCGGCUCAACCGAAGAAGUGCAUCGGAAACUGGGAAACUUGAGUGCAGAAGAGGACAGUGGAACUCCAUGUGUAGCGGUGAAAUGCGUAGAUAUAUGGAAGAACACCAGUGGCGAAGGCGGCUGUCUGGUCUGUAACUGACGCUGAGGCUCGAAAGUAUGGGUAGCAAACAGGAUUAGAUACCCUGGUAGUCCAUACCGUAAACGAUGAAUGCUAAGUGUUGGAGGGUUUCCGCCCUUCAGUGCUGCAGCUAACGCAUUAAGCAUUCCGCCUGGGGAGUACGGCCGCAAGGCUGAAACUCAAAGGAAUUGACGGGGGCCCGCACAAGCGGUGGAGCAUGUGGUUUAAUUCGAAGCUACGCGAAGAACCUUACCAGGUCUUGACAUACUAUGCAAAUCUAAGAGAUUAGACGUUCCCUUCGGGGACAUGGAUACAGGUGGUGCAUGGUUGUCGUCAGCUCGUGUCGUGAGAUGUUGGGUUAAGUCCCGCAACGAGCGCAACCCUUAUUAUCAGUUGCCAGCAUUAAGUUGGGCACUCUGGUGAGACUGCCGGUGACAAACCGGAGGAAGGUGGGGAUGACGUCAAAUCAUCAUGCCCCUUAUGACCUGGGCUACACACGUGCUACAAUGGAUGGUACAACGAGUUGCGAACUCGCGAGAGUAAGCUAAUCUCUUAAAGCCAUUCUCAGUUCGGAUUGUAGGCUGCAACUCGCCUACAUGAAGUCGGAAUCGCUAGUAAUCGCGGAUCAGCAUGCCGCGGUGAAUACGUUCCCGGGCCUUGUACACACCGCCCGUCACACCAUGAGAGUUUGUAACACCCAAAGUCGGUGGGGAACCUUU